GAUUGUUUGAUCUGGCUCAGGAUGAACGCCAGCGGCAGGCCUACACAUGCAAGUCGAGGGGGUAACUUGAUUGAUAGCAAUAUUAAUUAAGCUAGACCGGCGCACGGGUGCGUAACACGUGUGCAAUCUACCUUUGUACUGGGGCAUAACUCCGAGAAAUCGGUGCUAAUUCCCCAUAACAUUAUGAAGUGGCAUCACUUUAUAAUUAAAGCUCCGGCGGUACAAGAUGAGCACGCGCCCAAUUAGUUAGUAGGCGGGGUAACGGCCCACCUAGACUUCGAUUGGUAGGGGUUCUGAGAGGAUGAUCCCCCACACUGGUACUGAGACACGGACCAGACUCCUACGGGAGGCAGCAGUGAGGAAUAUUGCACAAUGGACGAAAGUCUGACGCAGCCAUGCCGCGUGAAGGAUUGAAGGCCCUAUGGGUUGUAAACUUCUUUUGUAUAGGAAUAAACGCUCCCUCGUGAGGGAGCCUGAAGGUACUAUAAGAAUAAGCACCGGCUAACUCCGUGCCAGCAGCCGCGGUAAUACGGAGGGUGCAAGCGUUAUCCGGAUUUAUUGGGUUUAAAGGGUCCGCAGGCGGAUCGUUAAGUCAGUGGUGAAAGCCUACCGCUCAACGGUAGAACUGCCAUUGAUACUGGCGAUCUUGAAUAUGUAUGAAGUUGGCGGAAUGUGUGGUGUAGCGGUGAAAUGCUUAGAUAUCACACAGAACACCGAUUGCGAAGGCAGCUGACUAAUACAGUAUUGACGCUGAGGGACGAAAGUGUGGGGAUCAAACAGGAUUAGAUACCCUGGUAGUCCACACCGUAAACGAUGAUUACUAGAUUUUGGUCGCAAGAUCAGAGUCCAAGCGAAAGUGUUAGUAAUCCAC
This 871-nucleotide ribosomal RNA is filed under the name uncultured bacterium. RNAcentral's name for it is "bacterial SSU rRNA". It matches the Rfam family "Bacterial small subunit ribosomal RNA", at positions 1 to 872 of the family's 1533-position model. The record is from RNAcentral.